RNAcentral lists this ribosomal RNA (395 nucleotides) under uncultured bacterium. Its description in RNAcentral is "partial 16S ribosomal RNA". It matches the Rfam family "Bacterial small subunit ribosomal RNA", at positions 338 to 730 of the family's 1533-position model. The record is from RNAcentral.
CCUACGGGAGGCAGCAGUGAGGAAUAUUGGUCAAUGGCCGAAAGGCUGAACCAGCCAUGUCGCGUGAAGGUCAGUGCCCUAUGGGCGUUAAACUUCUUUUGUGCGGGAGCAAUAAUGGUCACGUGUGGCCAGACGAGAGUACCGUACGAAUAAGCAUCGGCUAACUGCGUGCCCGCAGCUGCGGUAAUACGGGGGAUGCAAGCGUUUUCCGGAGUUAUUGGGUUUAAAGGGUGCGUAGGCGGGGAGGUAAGUCAGCGGUGAAAAGCCCCCGCGCAACGGGGUGAAGUGCCAUUGAUACUGCAUUGCUGGAGUGCGGAUGCAGUGGGAGGAAUGUGUGGUGUAGCGGUGAAAUGCAUAGAUAUCACACAGAACACCGAUUGCGAAGGCAUCUCACG